GAAGCCUAGGGGAGCCAGUAAAGAUUAAAUGUGCUUCUCAAAGGCAGCCACUUCAUGCUGCUAUGUCGAAAGGGCCAUUAUUAUUAUUAUAUUUUAAUGGUAAAAGAGAAAAGGAGAGAGGUUGAGCGAGCGAGAGAGAAGCUAGGUGUGAUGAUGACAGACUAGCUUUUCUGAGAGGAAAAGGAAAAGGGAAGGGAGAGAAAAAGGAGAGCCUCUGAGCUCAACGGAGGAUUGUGCCUGAGAAGAACCCACAGAGAUGUGACUGGAGUGAUUUGCACCCGGAUGCCUAGACUCGCCAUCUGCUCAAAGACUGCUCAGAAAGCCCUCCCAUGCAUUCCCCUGCUGCAUACCAGCCCACUCUGCCUGCAGCUGCUGUCUGCAGGACUUCAUAUCUAUGCCACACUGUGUAAAAGCUGUGCUUCAAGAAAUCACAAAAACAUUUUCCUGCACCUACUACACAGCCUGAGUGCGGCAUAAGUUGACCUUGCUUGCUAAGAAAUGGGGCAAGAAAUGCUUUUUUGUGUGUGUCAUGUCUGUUUGUUUUUCAAUUAAGAGAGGAAAGCAUUAGGCAGAUGGAAUGUACAUGUGAGGAUGAGGAGACAGAAAACAAGUAGCCCUUUCCAUCAAGAUAGAGGGUUUUCUGGGGUUGCUGGCUAUUGAAUGUCACUCCUGAUUUCUCUUUCCAAGGCACUGUACCACCAGCCUACUGAGAUUGUGUGGGAGCUUUCAUGGGGGUUGUAUUUCACU
Molecule: long non-coding RNA, 747 nt
Filed under: Homo sapiens (human)
Lineage: Eukaryota; Metazoa; Chordata; Mammalia; Primates; Hominidae
Description: non-protein coding MIR100HG:20
Source: RNAcentral